This 595-nucleotide unclassified non-coding RNA is filed under the name Hevea brasiliensis (rubber tree). The record is from RNAcentral. Lineage: Eukaryota; Viridiplantae; Streptophyta; Magnoliopsida; Malpighiales; Euphorbiaceae.
AUUUUAAUUUUGUGAAUAUUAGCCUAAUAUAAAUCAUCAUAUCGGUAGGGGCUAACAACAAGAAAGCCAAACUUUUAGCAAAUUUGCAACAUAAUCCAAUGAUUUCAAUUUUGGUAGUUUGGGCCAAUUUCAGCAAUUAGUUGUAAUUUUAUUCAAUUGACCAAAAUUGAAAUAAAUACUAUAUAAAAAACAAAAAUUGUAUACAAUGUAAACAACCAAAAAAAUGAAAUUGUUACUUCUUUAUUUUCCAAUUAUUUUUCGCAUUAAUUUUUAUUUCAAUUUUUCACAAUUUUGGUCAACUGAAUAAAAAUGCCAAAAUUCAGUUAAAUUAAAUUUAAAAUUCACGAAAAACUUUAAAUUUCUUCUUUUGUCAUUAGGCCUAUCGUGAGCAAUUUUGGCCAAUAAAAUGAGUGAGAAUUGGAAUGUACACGUGUAAAGAUUAUAUAGUCAUCUUAAGAGGCAGAAAAAUAUGGUUAUUGGUUACUAUACAUUUCAAAUGUUGACAAUACAAAAUAUUUUUUUCCCUUUUUUCCUUUGUAAAAUAUUUUUAUCUAAUAAAUAUUAUUAGAAAUGUUUUAAAUGAAAAAUAACAAAA